RNAcentral lists this ribosomal RNA (514 nucleotides) under uncultured Chloroflexota bacterium. RNAcentral describes it as "bacterial SSU rRNA". It matches the Rfam family "Bacterial small subunit ribosomal RNA", at positions 355 to 883 of the family's 1533-position model. The record is from RNAcentral. Lineage: Bacteria; Bacillati; Chloroflexota.
UGAGGAAUAUUGGGCAAUGGGCGCAAGCCUGACCCAGCAACGCCGCGUGGAGGAAGACGGCCUUCGGGUUGUAAACUCCUUUUACGGGGUAAGAGGAAGGACGGUACCCCGAGAAUAAGUCACGGCUAACUACGUGCCAGCAGCCGCGGUAAUACGUAGGUGACAAGCGUUAUCCGGAAUUACUGGGCGUAAAGCGCACGCAGGCGGCGCGGUAAGUCUGAUGUGAAAUCUCCUGGCUUAACUGGGAGGGGUCAUUGGAAACUGCCGAGCUUGAGGCGAUGAGAGGGGGUGUAGAAUUCCCGGUGUAGUGGUGGAAUGCGUAGAUAUCGGGAGGAAUACCAGUGGCGAAAGCGACACCCUGGCAUUAGCCUGACGCUCAUGUGCGAAGGCGUGGGGAGCGAACGGGAUUAGAUACCCCGGUAGUCCACGCGGUAAACGAUGAAUACUAGGUGUGGGUGGAGUGAAAUCCAUCUGUGCCGAAGCAAACGCGCUAAGUAUUCCGCCUGGGGAGUAC